AAUCAACGCUGGCGGCGUGCCUAACACAUGCAAGUCGAACGCGAAAGCCCGCAAGGGUAAGUAGAGUGGCGCACGGGUGAGUAACACGUGGACAACCUGCCUUCGAGUGGGGAAUAACCUUCCGAAAGGAGGGCUAAUACCGCAUAACACCUCGGGACACAAGUUCUGGGGUUGAAAAGAGCAAUUUGCUCGAAGAGGGGUCCGCGCCUGAUUAGCUAGUUGGUGAGGUAACGGCUCACCAAGGCUUCGAUCAGUAGCCGUCCUGAGAGGGAGCACGGCCACACUGGAACUGAGACACGGUCCAGACUCCUACGGGAGGCAGCAGUGGGGAAUUUUGGCAAUGGGCGAAAGCCUGACCAAGCAACGCCGCGUGGGUGAUGAAGUAUCUUGGUACGUAAAACCCUUUCGGCAGGGACGAACCUAAUGACGGUACCUGCGGAAGAAGCCCCGGCUAACUCCGUGCCAGCCGCCGCGGU
RNAcentral lists this ribosomal RNA (476 nucleotides) under uncultured bacterium. RNAcentral's name for it is "bacterial SSU rRNA". It matches the Rfam family "Bacterial small subunit ribosomal RNA", at positions 32 to 521 of the family's 1533-position model. The record is from RNAcentral.